AAAAAAGUAAGAAGGCUUUCUUUCUUAAUAAAAGAAGGCGGGCACUUGUCCUGUCUUGCUACCCUCUCGUUGUCUUCCUUAUUUUUGUGUUUUUUUUCUUUUUCUUUUAUUCAUUAUUAACAAGAGUAAGAGUAAGAGUAGAAGAGGAACGACGAGAAGCAAACGAGAAACGCACUUUGUUUUUCUUGUUU
RNAcentral lists this non-coding RNA (191 nucleotides) under Aureoumbra lagunensis. Lineage: Eukaryota; Pelagophyceae; Sarcinochrysidales; Sarcinochrysidaceae. The record is from RNAcentral.